Parambassis ranga (Indian glassy fish) is the source of this 85-nucleotide small nucleolar RNA. NCBI's taxonomy places the organism in Eukaryota, Metazoa, Chordata, Actinopteri, Ambassidae. The record is from Ensembl.
UGCACAUGAUGUUUUUUCUCACGAUGGUCUUCCAAGCCUGUAGGGUUCUGACGACAAUGCCUUUUGGCAACACUGAUGCAGUCAA